This 209-nucleotide long non-coding RNA is filed under the name Sorghum bicolor (sorghum). Its description in RNAcentral is "long non-coding RNA (SBIC_LNC002977)". The record is from RNAcentral. Lineage: Eukaryota; Viridiplantae; Streptophyta; Magnoliopsida; Poales; Poaceae.
CACACAUGUUUUUGACUAAACCUUGUGAUAUGCUGCAAACUCCGAUAAAAUAACAUUUUGAUGAAAACACAAGUCUAAAGUUAGUCUUUGACAUGAUGUAUGAACGCUGCUUGGGGUAGUUCACCUUGUAUACACUUGUUAGCACUAGGUUGAUUUCCUGCUUAUACCUGCUAUGUGCUACUUUCAGUGGUGAACUCCUUCUUACAAUA